This is a long non-coding RNA of Labeo rohita (rohu), 405 nucleotides long. RefSeq lists it as uncharacterized. The transcript has 3 exons. Lineage: Eukaryota; Metazoa; Chordata; Actinopteri; Cypriniformes; Cyprinidae. The record is from RefSeq and is a predicted model, not a curated record.
AUGGCCGCCUGUGUGUCGAGGUCCAGCGUCUGGAUCCGGUCGAUGUAUUCCUCCUUCCUGUUGCACUGAGACACGCAGAGAGAAAGAGAAACGCAGACUAAAAUGGACAAUGAACACUUCCUGUGCACGACAUCCUGUGACGGUCCUUGGGACUCAUGCAGAUUCAUACGGUGACAUCAUCACACGGACGACGGUUCUCACGGGUUAAACAUUCACUGUGAAUGUUACAAAUCUAAGCAGUGACGCUGAUAGACUUUGUCUGGUAAUGUAGCGGAGCGAAAGAGUGAUGGAGAGCGUCAGUGUUCCUACAAUCUGAGACUGAAAAUGGGACAUCAGCUGUUCUGAAUGCACUGUGACUGAGCGACAUGAGACUGCAGUGAGGAUGAGGUGAGACGUACCGCUGAG